Molecule: ribosomal RNA, 484 nt
Filed under: uncultured bacterium
Lineage: Bacteria
Description: partial 16S ribosomal RNA
Rfam family: Bacterial small subunit ribosomal RNA
Source: RNAcentral
AGCGAACGUUAGCGGCGCGCCUAACACAUGCAAGUCGAACGAUGAACCCGGAGCUUGCUCCGGCGGAUUAGUGGCGAACGGGUGAGUAACACGUGAGUAACCUGCCCUUGACUCUGGGAUAACUGCUAGAAAUGGUAGCUAAUACCGGAUACGACCCUCGGUGGCAUCACCAGGGGGUGGAAAGAAUUUCGGUCAAGGAUGGACUCGCGGCCUAUCAGCUAGUUGGUGAGGUAACGGCUCACCAAGGCGACGACGGGUAGCCGGCCUGAGAGGGUGACCGGCCACACUGGGACUGAGACACGGCCCAGACUCCUACGGGAGGCAGCGGUGGGGAAUAUUGCACAAUGGGCGCAAGCCUGACGCAGCAACGCCGCGUAAGGGAUGACGGCCUUCGGGUUGUAAACCUCUUUUAGUAGGGAAGAAGCGAAAGUGACGGUACCUGCAGAAAAAGCACCGGCUAACUACGUGCCAGCCGCCGCAGUAA